RNAcentral lists this ribosomal RNA (466 nucleotides) under uncultured bacterium. RNAcentral's name for it is "partial 16S ribosomal RNA". It matches the Rfam family "Bacterial small subunit ribosomal RNA", at positions 28 to 505 of the family's 1533-position model. The record is from RNAcentral.
GACGAACGCUGGCGGCGUGCUUAACACAUGCAAGUCGAACGGAAAGGCCCUGCUUUUGUGGGGUGCUCGAGUGGCGAACGGGUGAGUAACACGUGAGUAACCUGCCCUUGACUUUGGGAUAACUUCAGGAAACUGGGGCUAAUACCGGAUAGGAGCUCCUGCUGCAUGGUGGGGGUUGGAAAGUUUCGGCGGUUGGGGAUGGACUCGCGGCUUAUCAGCUUGUUGGUGGGGUAGUGGCUUACCAAGGCUUUGACGGGUAGCCGGCCUGAGAGGGUGACCGGCCAAAUUGGGACUGAGAUACGGCCCAGACUCCUACGGGAGGCAGCAGUGGGGAAUAUUGCACAAUGGGCGGAAGCCUGAUGCAGCAACGCCGCGUGCGGGAUGACGGCCUUCGGGUUGUAAACCGCUUUCGCCUGUGACGAAGCGUGAGUGACGGUAAUGGGUAAAGAAGCACCGGCUAACUACG